Long non-coding RNA from Gorilla gorilla gorilla (western lowland gorilla), 2650 nucleotides. RefSeq lists it as uncharacterized. The record is from RefSeq and is a predicted model, not a curated record. The transcript has 3 exons. Lineage: Eukaryota; Metazoa; Chordata; Mammalia; Primates; Hominidae.
AAGAUAGAGUCCUUAUUAACCUCUAGAUUAGAAAAAUUAAAUAUAUUGGUUUCCUAGAAUCUAGGUGAUUGCCCAAUAAAUAGGAGGAGACCAAGUUAAAGUUAAAAAAAGAAAAGCAGAUAAAUAGCAGAGCAAGAGGCAGGAUGCAUCAUGCCUCGGUCACUACAUGUUUGCAGGCUUUUGUUAAAGACAAUGGUCUGACGUUGAAACUUGGAUUGCCUUGAGUACACCCUCACAGCCCUGCUCAUGGGGCAAGCAUGCCUGGGAGAUGACCUGGGGCACCACGCCCUGCCUAUCUCAGACAAGGAACUCCAGGCAGCAGUGGCGAAGCUGAGCAGCCCCAUCCUUAAGGGGCGGAGGCCGGCUCAUAUUUGCCUAUUAGGGCCGUGGGACGCCGAGGUUCUGCUGCGUCCCUCCUGGAAAUAGAUCCUUCCCAGCCAGCACCCGAAGUCAGCAGCAGAGGGCAAAGCACCUGGGCUUUAGCUCCAAGCUCCACGAUCCUCCUGGUACUGAGAUAUCUUUGUCAUUUACCUGGGAUUUACAGGGACCAAAAAGCUGGACAUCAUUCACCACCGGGAACAGCAUAUUGUUCCUGGAAGAGGCAAAAGCCUAGGGCUUCAAGAUGCCGGGGCUUCAAGAAACCAAGGCAUGACCUCAAGAGAUUUGCCGGAGGUGGCCUCGGUGGCAGCAGUCAUUGAAGAAAGGAAGACAGCUGCCCAGCCAGUCUGACAGACCAUACACAGACAGCCCUGUUCACAGGGAGACAAGUGUCUCUGCACAACCCGCGGCCACCACGGCGGCUUCAGGAAAGGCUCCCACAUUCCCAGAGCCUCUGCUGCGGCUCACUGACAAAUCAGCCCCUCAAUAAUCUUAUUGUAUGUUUUCAAAAUAAUUCUCAGUAAUGCCCCAAGAAUGUCUGAACUUCUGUGUGAACUCUCUAGUUUGCAUAUUUUUCAGCUUAUUAGCGGGAACUCUGAUAGACAAAGCCCAUGACCUUGCUUUUCCACGGACCUCUUGGCUGGGGUGCAAGGGCAGCCUCUCCUGCUGGUGAACUUGCAGUGCCCUCCUGUCUUGUUCUGAUUCUCUCUUACACUGAUUCCAGCCUCUUUCUUCCCUUGCCCUCUUCAUAGCCAACAGUAAGAAAUAAAUCUCUUGGCUUUGAUGAUGGUUUACUCAUUAGAGAAGGCCACAAGAUUCAGGUUCUGAAUUUUCAUGAAGCAAGAUUCUGGAAAAAGAAAGAGAGAGCAGAGAUAGUGUUGCCUUUGAUUACCUGUUUACCCCAAACCCAGCGCCUCUGGGAAGGGAGCACUCGGCUUCUGAUUUCAGGAUGACUGCAUGCGACCACAGUUCUAAUACAGCUUGUCAUUCAUAAAUCCCUGAGACAUCACAAGCCCAGCCAGAUGUGAUGUGGCCUGGCCUAAUCCUUCAAUGCAAUGCAAGGGAGGGUGGAAGUUAAACCUUAAUUAAAAACAAGAUCUGAUACUGCAAAAUUACCGUUUUAAAAAUGCUUUGAAUGGGCUUAAUUGGGAGUGUAUUCAAGUGUAUGGAUACGCAGACUCAGGAGACACUGUUUUCUUGUUUCCUUAAAUGCAGCUAAUUAUAUAGAAUCAUAAAGAAGAUAAAUAUCAGACUUCAUAGCUAUAGGAUAAGCUUCUCUCCAACACGUCUACCCAGGUUUUAGCUAUAUAUAGCUUGAUAUAUUUUGAUUGCAUUUGCCAAUUCUUCUCUGUGGAUUUCCAGUUACAUGUAAAAUAACCUCAGAGUUAGGGUCCUGCAACAAAGACAAAGGGCCAAUUUUUUGCUUAAGUCAUCCAGUUCCCAAUUUUUGCUUAAGUCAUCCAGUCACUUCUAUAUUUACUCUUUUUUUUCCCCAAGAAACCUUCCGUGAUUACUAUCAAAGUUGAGUCUUUUCCCCAAAGCUCCUAUUAGAUCUAUGUAAGAUCUUAUAAACUGUCUUGGUUUCCCUUUUAUACUUUUCAAUUGCUUCCCUGUUCAACCUUAUGAAUAAUUUUUACCAGUUUUUUUUAUUUUUUUAAGAGACAAGGUCUCACUCUGUUGCCCAGGCUAGAGUUCAGCAGCGCAGUCAUAGCUCACUGCAGCCUUAAACUCCUGGGCUUAAGCAAUCAUCCUGCCUCAACCUUCUAAGUAGCUGGGACUACAGGUGUGCAUCACCAUAUCCCGCUAAUUUGUUAAAAAAAAUAUUCUGUAGAGACCAGCUCUCCCUUUGUUACUCAGGCUGGUCUCGAACUCCUGGCUUCAAGCAAUCCCCACACCUAACUUUCCCAAAGUACUGGACUUACAGGCAUGAGACAUAAGCCACUUCACCUAUCUUCUUCCUCCUCCUCCUCUUCUUCUUCUUCUUCUUCUUCUUCUUCUUCUUCUUCUUCUCCUUCUUCUUCUUCUUCUGCUUCCUCCUUCUUCUCCUUCUCCUUCUCUUUCUUCUUCUUCCUUCUUCAUUUUUGACGGUGCCUAAUCUGUUUAACCAUUCUAUUAGAAUUUUUAUUUCAAUUACAACUGUUUUUAUUUUAUAAAUUCUAUUUGUUUUGAAAUUUGUAAGAUUAUUAGUUUUAGUCCUUUCUCCUUAUAUAAUUUUAAUCCCCUCUAUUAUUACUUUUUGCCAAUUAAACUCACAUAUUUCAUUUGGGACAAA